Non-coding RNA from Eptesicus fuscus (big brown bat), 87 nucleotides. RefSeq annotates it as microRNA mir-9195-2. The record is from RefSeq and is marked provisional. NCBI's taxonomy places the organism in Eukaryota, Metazoa, Chordata, Mammalia, Chiroptera, Vespertilionidae.
AGAGGUCCUCCGUGGCCGGGGUGGAAUGCUUGCCUUGUCACCGCGGCAAUGAAGCAAGCAUUCCGCCAGGCCGCUCACACUGCCAAC